GGGGUUGUACUGGUUUCGACGGGGGUUUUGAAGUCAGGGUAGCCAUCCGUGAUCCCAGAUGUCACGUAAAACGCUGGAAUCUUUAAAAUUAAACGCAGACGAAAAUCUUGCAUUUGCUGCCUAAUAUGGCAGCUGUCAGCCUCUGACCACCCGCUGUUAGAGAGUCUGGCAUCGAAUUUGCGGGGUCCUCUGUUGCUUAAGCUUUGCGGCAGCAGAAGAUUCAUGAAGCUACCAAAUCACUGAGCCUGUCUCUCGGCGCAGUGAGGAGGGAAUGACAAAAGAGUGACUGUGAUGGAAGAAGCCGUGGUGGAUGGGCUUUCGGACAGGGGUUCGAUUCCCCUCAGCUCCAU
This 350-nucleotide transfer-messenger RNA is filed under the name bovine gut metagenome. It matches the Rfam family "transfer-messenger RNA". From Rfam's summary of the family: Bacterial tmRNA, also known as 10Sa RNA or SsrA, is named for its dual tRNA and mRNA-like properties. Its role is to liberate the mRNA from a stalled ribosome. To accomplish this part of the tmRNA is used as a reading frame that ends in a translation stop signal. The record is from RNAcentral.